This 497-nucleotide ribosomal RNA is filed under the name uncultured bacterium. RNAcentral describes it as "partial 16S ribosomal RNA". It matches the Rfam family "Bacterial small subunit ribosomal RNA", at positions 28 to 507 of the family's 1533-position model. The record is from RNAcentral.
GAUGAACGCUGGCGGCGUGCCUAACACAUGCAAGUCGAGCGAACAGACGAGGAGCUUGCUCCUCUGACGUUAGCGGCGGACGGGUGAGUAACACGUGGAUAACCUACCUAUAAGACUGGUAUAACUUCGGGAAACCGGAGCUAAUACCGGAUAAUAUAUUGAACCGCAUGGUUCAAUAGUGAAAGACGGUUUUGCUGUCACUUAUAGAUGGAUCCGCGCGGCAUUGGCUAGUUGGUAGGGUAACGGCUUACCAAGGCAACGAUGCGUAGCCGACGUGAGAGGGUGAUCGGCCGCACUAGAACUGAGCCGCGGUCCAGACUCCUACGGGAGGCAGCAGUAGGGAAUCUUCCGCAAUGGGCGAAAGCCUGACGGAGCAGCGCCGCGUGAGUGAUGAAGGUCUUCGGAUCGUGAAACUCUGUUAUUAGGGAAGAACAAAUGUGUAAGUAACUAUGCACGUCUUGACGGUAACUAAUCAGGAAGCCACGGCUAACUACGUG